GACGAACGCUGGCGGCGUGCUUAACACAUGCAAGUGGAGCGACGAACCGGGGCUUGCCCCGGGGCAGAGCCGCGAACGGGUGAGUAACACGUGGGUAACCUGCCUCAAUGAUUGGGACAACCCGGGGAAACUCGGGCUAAUACCAAAUGUGUUCACUCCUUUUAAGGGGAGUGAGGAAAGGAAACUUCGGCCUCCGCAUUGAGAUGGGCCCGCGGCCCAUUAGCUUGUUGGUGAGGUAACGGCUCACCAAGGCUUCGAUGGGUAGCUGGUCUGAGAGGACGAUCAGCCACACUGGGACUGAGACACGGCCCAGACUCCUACGGGAGGCAGCAGUGGGGAAUCUUGCACAAUGCGCGAAAGCGUGAUGCAGCAACGCCGCGUGGGGGAAGACGG
Molecule: ribosomal RNA, 393 nt
Filed under: uncultured bacterium
Lineage: Bacteria
Description: bacterial SSU rRNA
Rfam family: Bacterial small subunit ribosomal RNA
Source: RNAcentral